CAAUAGCGUAUAUUAAAGUUGUUGCAGUUAAAAAGCUCGUAGUUGGAUUUCUGGUCGGAAGCUCCUGUCCUCUGAUGAGCGUACAAGUGCGUCCUACCAUCCUUCUGUUAACCUUUAAGGCUUUCGCGGCUUUCUAGGGGCUCAGAUAUUUUGCCUUGAGAAAAUUAGAGUGUUUCAGGCAGGCUAGCGCCGGAAUACAUUAGCAUGGAAUAAUGGAAUAGGACUUUUGCCUCUUCUGUUGGUCAUGAGGCUCGAGUAAUGAUUAAUAGGGAUAGUUGGGGGCAUUAGUACUUAACUGUCAGAGGUGAAAUUCUCGGAUUUGUUAAAGACUAACUUAUGCGAAAGCAUUUGCCAAGGAUGUUUUCAUUAA
RNAcentral lists this ribosomal RNA (370 nucleotides) under uncultured eukaryote. RNAcentral's name for it is "partial 18S ribosomal RNA". It matches the Rfam family "Eukaryotic small subunit ribosomal RNA", at positions 592 to 976 of the family's 1831-position model. The record is from RNAcentral.